AGUUCCUACGGGACGCAGCAGUGAGGAAUAUUGGUCAAUGGCCGAGAGGCUGAACCAGCCAAGUCGCGUGAGGGAAGACGGCCCUACGGGUUGUAAACCUCUUUUGUCGGGGAGCAAAGCGAACCACGUGCGGUUCAUUGAGAGUACCCGAAGAAAAAGCAUCGGCUAACUCCGUGCCAGCAGCCGCGGUAAUACGGAGGAUGCGAGCGUUAUCCGGAUUUAUUGGGUUUAAAGGGUGCGCAGGCGGAGGUGCAAGCCAGCGGUCAAAUUGCGGGGCUCAACCCCGUCCUGCCGUUGAAACUGCA
RNAcentral lists this ribosomal RNA (305 nucleotides) under uncultured bacterium. Its description in RNAcentral is "bacterial SSU rRNA". It matches the Rfam family "Bacterial small subunit ribosomal RNA", at positions 334 to 637 of the family's 1533-position model. The record is from RNAcentral.